AGGGAAUCUUCCGCAAUGGACGAAAGUCUGACGGAGCAACGCCGCGUGAGUGAUGAAGGUUUUCGGAUCGUAAAGCUCUGUUGCCAGGGAAGAACGUCUUCUGGAGUAACUGCCAGGAGAGUGACGGUACCUGAGAAGAAAGCCCCGGCUAACUACGUGCCAGCAGCCGCGGUAAUACGUAGGGGGCAAGCGUUGUCCGGAAUUAUUGGGCGUAAAGCGCGCGCAGGCGGCUGUUAAGUAUGGUGUAUAAUCCUGGGGCUCAACGCCGGGUCGCACUGGAAAGUGGAUGGCUUGAGUGCAGAAGAGGAGAGUGGAAUUCCACGUGUAGCGGUGAAAUGCGUAGAGAUGUGGAGGAACACCAGUGGCGAAGGCGACUCUCUGGGCUGUAACUGACGCUGAGGCGCGAAAGCGUGGGGAGCAAAC
This 423-nucleotide ribosomal RNA is filed under the name uncultured bacterium. RNAcentral describes it as "bacterial SSU rRNA". It matches the Rfam family "Bacterial small subunit ribosomal RNA", at positions 356 to 773 of the family's 1533-position model. The record is from RNAcentral.